Molecule: transfer RNA, 75 nt
Filed under: Actinomycetota bacterium
Lineage: Bacteria; Bacillati; Actinomycetota
Description: tRNA-Thr
Rfam family: tRNA
About the family: Transfer RNA (tRNA) molecules are approximately 80 nucleotides in length.
Source: RNAcentral
GCCCCUGUAGCUCAGUGGUAGAGCAACCGCCUUGUAAGCGGUAGGUCGUCAGUUCAAUCCUGACCGGGGGCCCCA